RNAcentral lists this ribosomal RNA (681 nucleotides) under uncultured fungus. RNAcentral describes it as "eukaryotic LSU rRNA". The stretch from base 461 to 681 matches the Rfam family "Eukaryotic large subunit ribosomal RNA", at positions 1 to 222 of the family's 3401-position model. The record is from RNAcentral. Lineage: Eukaryota; Fungi.
UUAAUUAAUUGUCUUGCAAAUAUUAAUCCGCUGGCCUCGCAAGGGGCUAGUUGAUAGAUAACGAUAUAAAUGUGUGUAGUGUUGACAGUGUGUGAUAUUUAAUUAAUUAUUGACAACUUUUAACAAUGGAUCUCUAGGCUCUUGCAUCGAUGAAGAACGCAGCAAAAUGCGAAACGUGAUGCGAUUUGCAUGAAUCUGUGAGUCAUCUAAUCUUUGAACGCGAAAGGCACUGUUACGUAAGUAGCAGUAUGUCUGUUUGAGAAUCGCAAACACGAUCAACUCUAGUUAGAGUUGGGAUUGACCUCAUGCGCUGUUUAUAGCAGCAUUUGGUUUGAAUGAAUCAAGUUGAUGGGUUCCCCAGCAAUGCUCAAUGUGUGCUAGCGAGACAGUCGUCCCGAUCUCACAUUAGUGGUUUUGUUGCAUAUCUCUAAUCACGGCUUGUUUAAAUUUCUAUCUAUUACGAUCUCAAAUCAGGCAAGAUUACCCGCUGAACUUAAGCAUAUCAAUAAGCGGAGGAAAAGAAACUAACAAGGAUUCCCCUAGUAACGGCGAGUGAAGCGGGAAUAGCUCAAAUUUAAAAUCUGGCGUAAAAGCCCGAAUUGUAGUCUAAAGAGGCGCUAUCGGACAUGAAUCUGUUGUACAAGUUCCCUGGAAUGGGACAUCACAGAGGGUGAGAAUCCC